Cyprinus carpio (common carp) is the source of this 286-nucleotide non-coding RNA. RefSeq annotates it as small Cajal body-specific RNA 7. The record is from RefSeq and is a predicted model, not a curated record. The transcript has a single exon. NCBI's taxonomy places the organism in Eukaryota, Metazoa, Chordata, Actinopteri, Cypriniformes, Cyprinidae.
UGGAUAUGAUGACAGCUGAGGUGUGGCGCUGGCGUGAGUGAAUGCUGAACAUGUUUAAAUGUGUGUGUGUGUGUGUGUGUGUGUGUGUGUGUGUGGCGCUGAUGGGUGGGGGUGUCAGAGAUCAGUGCUGAUACAGGAGUGCAUCUGAGGCGGCCGCUCACACCGAGGCUUCUCUGCGGUCUGGCUGAUGAUUAGAGCCUCGGUAUCAUCCUCACUCCUCGGCCACCGGCGCCACAGUCUCAGCAGGGCACGUGAUCCGUCACAAACACCCUGCGAUCUGAUCCGA